AACGCGAAGAACCUUACCAGGUCUUGACAUCCCGCUGACCGGUCUAGAGAUAGAUCUUUCCCUUCGGGGACAGCGGUGACAGGUGGUGCAUGGUUGUCGUCAGCUCGUGUCGUGAGAUGUUGGGUUAAGUCCCGCAACGAGCGCAACCCUUGAUCUUAGUUGCCAGCAUUCAGUUGGGCACUCUAAGGUGACUGCCGGUGAUAAACCGGAGGAAGGUGGGGAUGACGUCAAAUCAUCAUGCCCCUUAUGACCUGGGCUACACACGUGCUACAAUGGACGGUACAGAGGGUCGCAACCCCGCGAGGGUGAGCUAAUCCCAUAAAACCGUUCUCAGUUCGGAUUGUAGGCUGCAACUCGCCUACAUGAAGCCGGAAUCG
RNAcentral lists this ribosomal RNA (377 nucleotides) under Bacillus sp. F9(2011). Its description in RNAcentral is "bacterial SSU rRNA". It matches the Rfam family "Bacterial small subunit ribosomal RNA", at positions 958 to 1334 of the family's 1533-position model. Lineage: Bacteria; Bacillati; Bacillota; Bacilli; Caryophanales; Bacillaceae. The record is from RNAcentral.